GAUGAACGCUGGCGGCGUGCCUAAUACAUGCAAGUCGAGCGAACAGACGAGGAGCUUGCUCCUCUGACGUUAGCGGCGGACGGGUGAGUAACACGUGGAUAACCUACCUAUAAGACUGGGAUAACUUCGGGAAACCGGAGCUAAUACCGGAUAAUAUAUUGAACCGCAUGGUUCAAUAGUGAAAGACGGUUUUGCUGUCACUUAUAGAUGGAUCCGCGCCGCAUUAGCUAGUUGGUAAGGUAACGGCUUACCAAGGCAACGAUGCGUAGCCGACCUGAGAGGGUGAUCGGCCACACUGGAACUGAGACACGGCCCAGACUCCUACGGGAGGCAGCAGUAGGGAAUCUUCCGCAAUGGGCGAAAGCUUGACGGAGCAACGCCGCGUGAGUGAUGAAGGUCUUCAGAUCGUAAAACUCUGUUAUUAGGGAAGAACAAAUGUGUAAGUAACUAUGCACGUCUUGACGGUACCUAAUCAGAAAGCCACGGCUAACUACGUG
RNAcentral lists this ribosomal RNA (497 nucleotides) under uncultured bacterium. Its description in RNAcentral is "partial 16S ribosomal RNA". It matches the Rfam family "Bacterial small subunit ribosomal RNA", at positions 28 to 507 of the family's 1533-position model. The record is from RNAcentral.